RNAcentral lists this unclassified non-coding RNA (247 nucleotides) under Hevea brasiliensis (rubber tree). The record is from RNAcentral. Lineage: Eukaryota; Viridiplantae; Streptophyta; Magnoliopsida; Malpighiales; Euphorbiaceae.
GAAACUCCAGAAGCUCAUGUGUUGGCAAAUGCAGAGCUCUCCCCUGAAUUGGUACUUGGGAAGCCUAAUUCCCUGAAUGGAUCAAAUACGUCAAUUGAAAAUGGAUCGAACAUGCUGCUGCUUCGUCGAUCGCCGAAAAUUCUUGGGAUCAGAGACAUUUUCAGUGAACUUUUUGAGAAUUUUCUACGUUUUUUUGCUUGCUUGCUUUCGAUUUUGAUGGUUGAUUGAAGAGGAGGUGGUAGUUAUU